GUUAUUUGAUUGGUGGUUUGUAUGUCACAUGAUAUGGAUUAUUCGUACCAGUUGCCAUUGUGUUCCAUUUACCGUGCAAUUUUGGUUCUAUAUGUUUUCUGCUAUUGCAUGCCGCCGCCACAGCCGCUGAGCUUAACA
Molecule: long non-coding RNA, 138 nt
Organism: Thalassophryne amazonica
Lineage: Eukaryota; Metazoa; Chordata; Actinopteri; Batrachoidiformes; Batrachoididae
Exons: 3
Source: RefSeq, a predicted model, not a curated record